Dermochelys coriacea (leatherback sea turtle) is the source of this 461-nucleotide long non-coding RNA. RefSeq lists it as uncharacterized. The record is from RefSeq and is a predicted model, not a curated record. Lineage: Eukaryota; Metazoa; Chordata; Testudines; Dermochelyidae. The transcript has 6 exons.
UGCAGCAGCACAGGAGCCAGCAAACAGAGCUGUAAACAGGGGAGCUUGCAAGGAGAGUUUUGGGGGGAAGACUAAGAGAGCCAGGUAGAGGAACAGACAGGCUAGUGAAGGGAGUGUGUGGUGUUCUGGCAGUGUUUUGGUGCUCAUUGGGGGUGGUUUUGCUGUGGAUGGUGGUGUUUUGUUUUCGUUUGUGUUUCCCAGACUAACAGGAUUUAGGUGGGAAGGCGAUGGCAGAUACAGAGGCAGCUGUGGGAGUGACCCAAGCAGUGCAAGACACAAUGAAGAUGACUGGAUGUAGAAGCUCCGGCAUGUACGUGAUCCUAGAAGGGGUACCUGAAAAGAGUUUAGUCUGCAUGAAGUGCUGCCUGAUAGAGCUGGUGGAAGAAAAGAUCCGAGGACUGGAGAUGCAGAUGGAAACUCUGGACUGGCUGUAAGACACGAUAGCACAGCUGGAUCUAUUU